CCUACGGGAGGCUGCAGUCGAGAAUUUUUCACAAUGGGCGCAAGCCUGAUGGAGCGACGCCGCGUGGGGGAUGAAGGGUUUCGAUCCGUAAACCCCUGUCAUUUGCGAACUUGUAGUGGAAGAGGAAGGGACGGCUAACUCUGUGCCAGCAGCCGCGGUAAUACAGAGGUCCCAAGCGUUGUUCGGAUUCACUGGGCGUAAAGGGUGCGUAGGUGGCCAGGUAAGUUCGGUGUGAAAGCUCGGAGCUUAACUCCGAAAUGGCAUUGAAUACUAUCUGGCUGGAGGGUCGGAGGGGAGACUGGAAUUCUCGGUGUAGCAGUGAAAUGCGUAGAUAUCGAGAGGAACACCAGUGGCGAAGGCGAGUCUCUGGACGACCCUGACACUGAGGCACGAAAGCCAGGGGAGCAAACAGGAUUAGAUACCCUUGUAGUC
This 432-nucleotide ribosomal RNA is filed under the name uncultured bacterium. Its description in RNAcentral is "partial 16S ribosomal RNA". It matches the Rfam family "Bacterial small subunit ribosomal RNA", at positions 338 to 795 of the family's 1533-position model. The record is from RNAcentral.